GUGCUCUGAUGCUAUUGCACCACAUGUGUUUUUCUUUGAAACAAACUUGCUUUGGCGGUGGGCCCAGCCUGCCGCCAGAGGUCUAAACUUACAACCAAUUUUUUAUUAACUUGUCACACCAGAUUAUUACUAAAUAGUCAAAACUUUCAACAACGGAUCUCUUGGUUCUCGCAUCGAUGAAGAACGCAGCGAAAUGCGAUACGUAAUAUGAAUUGCAGAUAUUCGUGAAUCAUCGAAUCUUUGAACGCACAUUGCGCCCUCUGGUAUUCCGGAGGGCAUGCCUGUUUGAGCGUCGUUUCUCCCUCAAACCGCUGGGUUUGGUGUUGAGCAAUACGACUUGGGUUUGCUUGAAAGACGGUAGUGGUAAGGCGGGAUCGCUUUGACAAUGGCUUAGGUCUAACCAAAAACAUUGCUUGCGGCGGUAACGUCUACCACGUAUAUCUUCAAACUUUGACCUCAAAUCAGGUAGGACUACCCGCUGAACUUAAGCAUAUCAAAAGGCGGGAGGAA
This 510-nucleotide ribosomal RNA is filed under the name Candida albicans. Its description in RNAcentral is "eukaryotic LSU rRNA". The stretch from base 142 to 295 matches the Rfam family "5.8S ribosomal RNA". Lineage: Eukaryota; Fungi; Ascomycota; Pichiomycetes; Serinales; Debaryomycetaceae. The record is from RNAcentral.